Molecule: long non-coding RNA, 821 nt
Organism: Gordionus sp. m RMFG-2023
Lineage: Eukaryota; Metazoa; Nematomorpha; Gordioida; Chordodea; Parachordodidae
Exons: 5
Source: RefSeq, a predicted model, not a curated record
UUGUGUUUUGAUGUUUUGUCGCGUGACUUUUUGCUAAAUUUUGCUUAAGCUUAAAAUUUGUAUGCUUAAUUUAACAAGCUGAUUGCUCAAUAAUAUUUUCUCCAGCAUCAUUUGAGACCAUAACCAACCCAGAAUAUAUUACUAAUAUGCUAUCUUGUUAACCUGGAAAUUUUCUUCUUAGUACAAUUGAUAAUCCAUUCAGGAACUCCAACUAAUCAAGCAUCACUUGAUAUAAUCCAUUUAGGAACUCCAACCAACCAAACAUCACUUGAUAUAAUUUAUUCAGGAACUCCAACCAACCAAACAUCACUUGAUAUAAUCUAUUCAGGAACUCCAACCAACCAAAGAAAAUUUAAAAUAUGCUACUAGUUUUAUCUGGAAAUUAUGAUUAUUCAAUAAAUCAAUUAAUUUUUUUAAAGCAAAAUGCCCAAUAUAAAUUUAUAAAAUCUAAAUUUAAUAAAAAUCUACUAUUUUCUAAUAAUUAUUUAUAUUCUCAAAAUAGAGAAAACUAUUAUAUGUAUACCAAUGACAUAUGUCAUUGAUGCUUACAUAGAUAUUUAUUAAUUAUUAGGUUUUUACCUGAAAAUUCACAUCACUCUUUAUUAAUAUUAUGAUCAUGCUGUUAAAAUUUUUUAUACCAAAUUUACACCAUUUUAUAUAAUAUUGAUAUGCAAAAAGUAAUUACCAUAAUUUUAUAUAUUACUAUUGAAAUACAAAUUGCAAUCAUUAUUUUAUAUACCACCUAUUGAUAUACAAAUUGUAAUCAUUUUAUAAACAAUUAAUAUUCAAUUGCAAUAUAUACAAAUAUUUAUACACCACCA